Molecule: transfer RNA, 75 nt
Filed under: Candidatus Liptonbacteria bacterium RIFCSPHIGHO2_12_FULL_60_13
Lineage: Bacteria; Candidatus Liptoniibacteriota
Also listed under: 1 other name
Description: tRNA-Gly
Rfam family: tRNA
About the family: Transfer RNA (tRNA) molecules are approximately 80 nucleotides in length.
Source: RNAcentral
GCGGUGGUAGUUCAGCGGUAGAACGUCUCCUUGCCAAGGAGAAGGUCGCCGGUUCGAAUCCGGUCCACCGCUCCA